CCUGGCUCAGAUUGAACGCUGGCGGCAUGCCUUACACAUGCAAGUCGAACGGCAGCACGGGAGCAAUCCUGGUGGCGAGUGGCGAACGGGUGAGUAAUACAUCGGAACGUGCCCAGUAGUGGGGGAUAGCCCGGCGAAAGCCGGAUUAAUACCGCAUACGACCUACGGGUGAAAGCGGGGGAUCGCAAGACCUCGCGCUGUUGGAGCGGCCGAUGGCAGAUUAGCUUGUUGGUGGGGUAAUGGCCUACCAAGGCGACGAUCUGUAGCUGGUCUGAGAGGACGACCAGCCACACUGGGACUGAGACACGGCCCAGACUCCUACGGGAGGCAGCAGUGGGGAAUUUUGGACAAUGGGCGCAAGCCUGAUCCAGCCAUGCCGCGUGCGGGAAGAAGGCCUUCGGGUUGUAAACCGCUUUUGUCAGGGAAGAAACGCGCCGGGUUAAUACCUCGGCGUAAUGACGGUACCUGAAGAGUAAGCACCGGCUAACUACGUGCCAGCAGCCGCGGUAAUACGUAGGGUGCAAGCGUUAAUCGGAAUUACUGGGCGUAAAGCGUGCGCAGGCGGCUUUGCAAGACAGAUGUGAAAUCCCCGGGCUUAACCUGGGAACUGCAUUUGUGACUGCAUGGCUGGAGUGCGGCAGAGGGGGAUGGAAUUCCGCGUGUAGCAGUGAAAUGCGUAGAUAUGCGGAGGAACACCGAUGGCGAAGGCAAUCCCCUGGGCCUGCACUGACGCUCAUGCACGAAAGCGUGGGGAGCAA
RNAcentral lists this ribosomal RNA (758 nucleotides) under uncultured Burkholderia sp. RNAcentral's name for it is "bacterial SSU rRNA". It matches the Rfam family "Bacterial small subunit ribosomal RNA", at positions 18 to 771 of the family's 1533-position model. Lineage: Bacteria; Pseudomonadati; Pseudomonadota; Betaproteobacteria; Burkholderiales; Burkholderiaceae. The record is from RNAcentral.